Molecule: ribosomal RNA, 326 nt
Filed under: uncultured eukaryote
Lineage: Eukaryota
Description: partial 18S ribosomal RNA
Rfam family: Eukaryotic small subunit ribosomal RNA
Source: RNAcentral
CCCUUAGAUGUUCUGGGCCGCACGCGCGCUACACUGAUGCAUUCAACAAGCCUAGCCUUGACCGAGAGGUCCGGGUAAUCUUUGAAACUGCAUCGUGAUGGGGCUAGAUUAUUGCAAUUAUUAAUCUUCAACGAGGAAUGCCUAGUAAGCGUGAUUCAUCAAAUCGCGUUGAUUACGUCCCUGCCCUUUGUACACACCGCCCGUCGCUCCUACCGAUUGAAUGUGUUGGUGAGGAGCUCGGAUUGGCAGCAGUUUGUGGUUCGCCACCGGCUAUUGCUGAGAAGUCCUCCAAACCGCCCCAUUUAGAGGAAGGAGAAGUCGUAACA